GUGAAAGCCCCGCUUGCGGGGUGGAUCAGUGGCGAACGGGUGAGUAACACGUGAGCAACCUGCCCCUGACUCUGGGAUAAGCGCUGGAAACGGCGUCUAAUACUGGAUACGAGACGUGAUCGCAUGGUCAACGUUUGGAAAGAUUUUUCGGUUGGGGAUGGGCUCGCGGCCUAUCAGCUUGUUGGUGAGGUAAUGGCUCACCAAGGCGUCGACGGGUAGCCGGCCUGAGAGGGUGACCGGCCACACUGGGACUGAGACACGGCCCAGACUCCUACGGGAGGCAGCAGUGGGGAAUAUUGCACAAUGGGCGCAAGCCUGAUGCAGCAACGCCGCGUGAGGGAUGACGGCCUUCGGGUUGUAAACCUCUUUUAGCAGGGAAGAAGCGAGAGUGACGGUACCUGCAGAAAAAGCACCGGCUAACUACGUGCCAGCAGCCGCGGUAAUACGUAGGGUGCAAGCGUUAUCCGGAAUUAUUGGGCGUAAAGAGCUCGUAGGCGGUUUGUCGCGUCUGCUGUGAAAUCUGGGGGCUCAACCCCCAGCCUGCAGUGGGUACGGGCAGACUAGAGUGCGGUAGGGGAGAUUGGAAUUCCUGGUGUAGCGGUGGAAUGCGCAGAUAUCAGGAGGAACACCGAUGGCGAAGGCAGAUCUCUGGGCCGUAACUGACGCUGAGGAGCGAAAGGGUGGGGAGCAAACAGGCUUAGAUACCCUGGUAGUCCACCCCGUAAACGUUGGGAACUAGUUGUGGGGUCCAUUCCACGGAUUCCGUGACGCAGCUAACGCAUUAAGUUCCCCGCCUGGGGAGUACGGCCGCAAGGCUAAAACUCAAAGGAAUUGACGGGGACCCGCACAAGCGGCGGAGCAUGCGGAUUAAUUCGAUGCAACGCGAAGAACCUUACCAAGGCUUGACAUAUACGAGAACGGGCCAGAAAUGGUCAACUCUUUGGACACUCGUAAACAGGUGGUGGCAUGGUUGUCGUCAGCUCGUGUCGUGAGAUGUUUGGGUUAAGUCCCGCAACGAGCGCAACCCUCGUUCUAUGUUGCCAGCACGUAAUUGGUGGGAACUCAUGGGAUACUG
RNAcentral lists this ribosomal RNA (1075 nucleotides) under marine bacterium BL20_017. RNAcentral describes it as "bacterial SSU rRNA". It matches the Rfam family "Bacterial small subunit ribosomal RNA", at positions 68 to 1151 of the family's 1533-position model. The record is from RNAcentral.